UUCUGUUUCCCUUAUGACACACGCAGAAACCUUUAUUACAUACAGACUAAGCACAGUCCGGGACACACUCGGAGCAGACGGUCUCUCAGGGGAAGGCGAUGAUCGGUGGUACCAGCUCCACAAUUAGAGGAGUGGUGUGAGUAGAGCAACACGUCAGCUCCCAUUCCCCACUCUUCGAAGGGAACCAACAGAACAAUUCUGCGAUUACAUCAACAGCACUGCUACUUGUGAUCAGUUAUCAAAAAACGACAUGUGUCUCAGGUUUAUGGCUCAUUCUUCUGCCUUCCCCGAAGAUUACUGAAAUGCAGUCCUAGCAGCAACUGCGCACCCCUCUCAUGGUGACAGUUUUGCUCAAUGUCCACUGAGAAGUAGUUCUGUUGCUAUAAACCAAUGUUGCUUUUCUUGUGAGGCAGUUAUAGGAAGCGCAAGCAAAUGACAGAUGUCAACCAUGGAGAAAGAGCACUAACCCCGGGGGUCUAGGAGGACCGUGGUGUAAACACCGCAUUACACAACAGCAGAGGAAACCUGGAACAGGUGGUUCCCAGGGGCUCUAGGAGAGUUACUUGGCUCAAAUCGCCUUCAUCCUAUGGUCCUAAACUGCAUGUUUUAAGUACAAUUAUCGUCAAAAGAACAACUUACCUUU
Long non-coding RNA from Mustela erminea (ermine), 643 nucleotides. RefSeq lists it as uncharacterized. Lineage: Eukaryota; Metazoa; Chordata; Mammalia; Carnivora; Mustelidae. The record is from RefSeq and is a predicted model, not a curated record. The transcript is spliced from 3 exons.